UCGAGAAUUUUUCUCAAUGGGGGAAACCCUGAAGGAGCGACGCCGCGUGGAGGAUGAAGGUCUUCGGGUUGUAAACUCCUGUCAUUUGGGAACAAGGCGGACGUAUUAACUGUACGUGCGUUGAUAGUACCAGAAGAGGAAGAGACGGCUAACUCUGUGCCAGCAGCCGCGGUAAUACAGAGGUCUCAAGCGUUGUUCGGAUUCAUUGGGCGUAAAGGGUGCGUAGGUGGCGCCGUUAGUCGGGUGUGAAAUUUCGGAGCUUAACUCCGAAACUGCAUUCGAUACUGCGGUGCUUGAGGACUGGAGAGGAGACUGGAAUUUACGGUGUAGCAGUGAAAUGCGUAGAGAUCGUAAGGAAGACCAGUGGCGAAGGCGGGUCUCUGGACAGUUCCUGACACUGAGGCACGAAGGCCAGGGGAGCAAACGG
This 427-nucleotide ribosomal RNA is filed under the name uncultured bacterium. RNAcentral describes it as "bacterial SSU rRNA". It matches the Rfam family "Bacterial small subunit ribosomal RNA", at positions 355 to 775 of the family's 1533-position model. The record is from RNAcentral.